This 457-nucleotide ribosomal RNA is filed under the name uncultured bacterium. RNAcentral's name for it is "bacterial SSU rRNA". It matches the Rfam family "Bacterial small subunit ribosomal RNA", at positions 340 to 786 of the family's 1533-position model. The record is from RNAcentral.
UACGGGAGGCAGCAGUGGGGAAUAUUGCACAAUGGGCGAAAGCCUGAUGCAGCUAUGCCGCGUGUAUGAAGAAGGCCUUAGGGUUGUAAAGUACUUUCAUCGGGGAGGAAAAAACAAAACUAAUAAUUUUAUUUCUUGACGUUACCCGAAAAAGAAGCACCGGCUAACUCCGUGCCAGCAGCCGCGGUAAUACGGAGGGUGCUAGCGUUAAUCAGAAUUACUGGGCGUAAAGAGCACGUAGGUGGUUUUUUUAAGUCAGAUGUGAAAUCCCUGGGCUUUAACCUAGGAACUGCAUUUUGAAACUGAAAUACUAGAGUAUCGUAGAGGGAGGUAGAAUUCUAGGUGUAGCGGUGAAAUGCGUAGAUAUCUGGAGGAAUACCUGUGGCGAAAGCGGCCUCCUAAACGAAUACUGACACUGAGGUGCGAAAGCGUGGGGAGCAAACAGGGAUUAGAUACC